AGCGAACGCUGGCGGCAGGCUUAACACAUGCAAGUCGAGCGGGCACUUUCGGGUGUCAGCGGCUGACGGGUGAGUAACGCGUGGGAACGUGCCCUCUGGUUCGGAAUAACUCAGGGAAACUUGAGCUAAUACCGGAUACGCCCUUUUGGGGAAAGGCUUGCUGCCGGAGGAUCGGCCCGCGUCUGAUUAGCUAGUUGGUGAGGUAACGGCUCACCAAGGCGACGAUCAGUAGCUGGUCUGAGAGGAUGAUCAGCCACACUGGGACUGAGACACGGCCCAGACUCCUACGGGAGGAAGCAGUGGGGCAUAUUGGACAAUGGGCGCAAGCCUGAUCCAGCCAUGCCGCGUGAGUGAUGAAGGCCUUAGGGUUGUAAAGCUCUUUUAUCCGGGACGAUAAUGACGGUACCGGAGGAAUAAGCCCCGGCUAACUUCGUG
RNAcentral lists this ribosomal RNA (435 nucleotides) under uncultured bacterium. Its description in RNAcentral is "partial 16S ribosomal RNA". It matches the Rfam family "Bacterial small subunit ribosomal RNA", at positions 29 to 507 of the family's 1533-position model. The record is from RNAcentral.